Juglans microcarpa x Juglans regia is the source of this 1179-nucleotide long non-coding RNA. RefSeq lists it as uncharacterized. The transcript is spliced from 2 exons. NCBI's taxonomy places the organism in Eukaryota, Viridiplantae, Streptophyta, Magnoliopsida, Fagales, Juglandaceae. The record is from RefSeq and is a predicted model, not a curated record.
AUUUUGGAACUAAAGUCUUCAAAUUUCGUGUACGGACACUGCCCAUUAGCCACACCUACCAAGGAUGAGCCCAUAAUGUCCUCAUUCCUAAUUUUCGAUUCCUAGCCAUUAAAGCCUGACGUAAUUAAUACAAUUACAAUAUUACCCAUGCCUUUUAUAAAUUAACAUUAAUAUUAAUGCACAUUAAGUACUGAUAAUUAACGAUAUAUAUAUAUAUAUAUAUAUUAAAUGUAUGUAUGUUUUAUAAAUUUUUUUUUUUUUUUGAAACUGUUUUAUAACUAAGCUGAUCUCGUACAUUUUUAGCUGUUGAAAUGUCGGAAGAGAAGUGAAAAAAUGGCGAUGGGUCUUACGGAUGCAGUUUGGAUAUUGACGAGUGUCGCUCUAAGAAAGAGCAUAUAUAUAUUCGAGGAAUUUGCAGUCAUGUUGAUCGAUUUCCUUCCGGUUUUGGUGUCAACAAUCCGGUUUUCUCGUUUCAUUUUCAGUCACCCGACGGCUGUUCCUGCUGCAGGCAUCAGGUACUCUCCCAUGUCAUCAAUGGUGGCUCGACACGAUCGGUAGUAGUCCUACAAAGUUCAAGCCUUCAUGCUCAUCAUUUGGUGGUGGCUAUCUAUCUCAUUUUCAAUUCCAAGGACAUACGUACACACAUGAACCGAAGGAAAAAUAAGGACAUGGCUUGUAAACAAUUAAGCUCCUGUGGCAGCUGUUUCUUUCUUAUAUAUAUAUAUAUAUAUAUAUGUUGCUUAAUUAAAUUAUUAUUUAUUUGUCAUUGAUUUUUCCCCAAAUAAAAAUGAAUACUACUACUCUUUGGGGGUUUUCUUCUGUGAUAUGCUUGAUGAGAUGAUAUAUAGCAAGUCAUGAUCAUGCUAGCUUGGGGUACUACUGCCUUAUGCUUCAAGUGAUCACGCGUGAGCUAUAACCUUACAGAUUACAAUCAUGUUUGGUUCAUGAUGUAAUUUUUUUGUAUUUCUUGUUUCGUUUUCCAACUGCAACGUACGUUAUAUAUAUUGACCAUGGAUGGCAGAACUUUAUAUUAUAUAUAGGCUUGCAUGCAAUAUGUAUAGAAUGUAUUGACCAAGCUAUUACUUUGCUUCCACAUGUGACAUGAUCGAUGGUGUUUUGUUGUCUGCGUUAAGUGCUGGUUUAAGAUCAUGAAUUAAUACACGAAGUACUUUUUAAUAA